GUAGGUGAACCUGCGGAAGGAUCAUUACAUUCAGUAGCUUGCUACUGUCAGGAGGGUCUAUCAGCCUGUAUAGUUUAAUUACUGAUGAGCAGCACGACCCUCUGUCUGUACCCUUGUCUUUUGCGCACUCAUGUUUCCUCGGCGGGGGCUUAACCCGCCGGUUGGACAACUCUAUAACCUUUUUAAUUUUCAAUCAGCGUCUGAAAAACUUAAUAAUUACAACUUUCAACAACGGAUCUCUUGGUUCUG
This 249-nucleotide unclassified non-coding RNA is filed under the name rhizosphere metagenome. RNAcentral describes it as "partial ribosomal RNA internal transcribed spacer region". The record is from RNAcentral.